Long non-coding RNA from Cornus florida, 1327 nucleotides. RefSeq lists it as uncharacterized. The record is from RefSeq and is a predicted model, not a curated record. The transcript is spliced from 4 exons. NCBI's taxonomy places the organism in Eukaryota, Viridiplantae, Streptophyta, Magnoliopsida, Cornales, Cornaceae.
AUGGUGGGUCCCAUGGCAUAAAAAAUAUAUUUUCUUUAAUUUAAUAACUUAUAUAUAUACUCUCAGCAUAAUACCAUCACACAAUUAAACACAUAACCAUGUAUAAGCAUUAAGCAAUAAUGCAUGAAAUGCAAUGAACUCUAAAUAAAAUUCCAAGCGAGUCCCACCUCGGACCUGCCGGUCAAAAAAAAAAACGAAAAAUUGACAAAAUGACAACCAAUUCAUUUCCAAAAGUCCUGAACUCAAGUAAGUGUCCAACUAACUCUCAAACACACCCGGCGUACUCCACGGUAUCCGGCACGCAAAAUGAGACUAAACGAAAAUAACCACAAAAAAUUGAAAAAAUACUAGAAAAUAAAAAAUGAAAAAAAUCAAGAUCAUUAUAAUUAUAAUUUUAUAAUAAAAUUAUUAUUAUAUUGUAUUACAAUGGUAUGAUGAGAUACAUAGUUACAUUUAUUAUAUAUGAAAAAAAAUAAAAAAUUUAAGUUACGGCAAGUCUUGGUUGGCUUGGGCCUCAUAGGGGAUGGAAAAAAUAAAUAAAUAAUUUAAGGCCCAUAGGGGAUGGGAAAAAUAAAAUAAAAAAUAUAAGUUAGGGCAAGUUUUUCGGACGACACAAUCUACUUCGAGACUCCGCAGGGCCUCCGUAUCGCUUCAGGCUCAGGUGACAUCGUAACAAGAAACUCAGAACUAAACCAUUUUCGGUCACCGGAGAAGAAUUCUUUCAACCUGAAAAGAGAUGAUGAUAAUAACUCUAAAUUAGGCUCCACGACCGGUCUAAAUCGUAAGAGAGUCUGAAUCACAGCAAUUUCUUGUGCAGAAACUAGGGUUUGUGUUGUGUUUGUUUGCUGAUCGUCAUCAAUUUUACUAUGGAUCUUGAUAAAGAACCAAAACCUAAUCUUGAAGAUUACCAAAUAGACUGUUCAUAUAUAAAGAUGAGAGAACAGGCUAAGACUUGGUCGGUAAAGCUAAGGAUAAAGAAUCAAUACUAGAAGGUUACAGAUCUGGUGUGAGGAGCUAUUAUUUUGAAUUUGAAUGCAAAGAAGCCUGGGUGGAAAAACUAUGGAAGGGAGUAAUAGUAAAACGUGGACGAAAGAAAGAAGAUGCUCGAUUUUGGUGUUUGCGCAGAAAAUGGAGAUAUCAGAGAGUAGCCAUUGAUUCAAUAAUGAUGCUGAAGGAAUUCAAAACUCCAUAUCUGUUGAGACGGACAGAUGUUGAUUCCUAUUUUGUUGAGUGGUUGAAGCCUAGAAACACAUCCUGAGAGUCAGCCUUUUUUUGUAAACACAUCCGAUGACUAUGAAUUCAAGGAGUACUAGAUUGAAUCGAUGAG